UAUUGCGCAAUGGGCGAAAGCCUGACGCAGCGACGCCGCGUGAGGGAUGAAGGCCUUCGGGUUGUAAACCUCUUUCGAUUGGGAAGAAACGCCUUAAGAUAAAUAGUUUUAAGGCCUGACGGUACCAGGAGAAGAAGCCACGGCUAACUCUGUGCCAGCAGCCGCGGUAAGACAGAGGUGGCAAGCGUUGUUCGGAUUUACUGGGCGUAAAGCGUACGUAGGUGGUUAAAUAAGUCUAUUGUGAAAUCCCCCCGCUUAACGGAGGAACUGCAGUAGAUACUGUCUGACUAGAGGAUGGGAGAGGAGAGUGGAAUUCCCGGUGUAGCGGGGAAAUGCGUAGAUAUCGGGAGGAACACCGGUGGCGAAGGCGGCUCUCUGGAACAUUCCUGACACUGAGUACGAAG
RNAcentral lists this ribosomal RNA (404 nucleotides) under uncultured bacterium. RNAcentral's name for it is "bacterial SSU rRNA". It matches the Rfam family "Bacterial small subunit ribosomal RNA", at positions 362 to 758 of the family's 1533-position model. The record is from RNAcentral.